This 256-nucleotide ribosomal RNA is filed under the name uncultured bacterium. RNAcentral's name for it is "partial 16S ribosomal RNA". It matches the Rfam family "Bacterial small subunit ribosomal RNA", at positions 524 to 776 of the family's 1533-position model. The record is from RNAcentral.
UACGUAGGCAGCGAGCGUUGUUCGGAAUUACUGGGCGUAAAGAGUGUGUAGGCGGUGCUCUAAGUUUGGUGUGAAAUCUCCCGGCUCAACUGGGAGGGUGCGCCGAAAACUGGAAUGCUUGAACAUGGGAGAGGAAAGCGGAAUUCCUGGUGUAGCGGUGAAAUGCGUAGAUAUCAGGAGGAACACCUGCGGUGUAGACGGCUUUCUGGACCCAUUGUUGACGCUGAGGCACAGAAAGCCGUGGGUAGCAAACAGG